CCAAUAGCGUAUAUUAAAGUUGUUGCAGUUAAAAAGCUCGUAGUUGAAUUUCGGGAUACAUCCGUUGGUCGGGCUUCACUGUCCGUACUGGUGUGAUGGGUUCCUACCUUCUGAAUAACCGGCAUGCCAUUAAUUUGGUGCGCCGGGGAAGCAGAACUAUUACCUUGAAAAAAUUAGAGUGCUUAAAGCAGGCAAGUGCCUGAAUAGGUUAGCAUGGAAUAAUAAAAUAGGACGGCAUGGUUCUAUUUUGUUGGUUUCUAGGAUCACCGUAAUGAUUAAUAGGGAUAGUUGGGGGCAUUAGUAUUCAAUUGUCAGAGGUGAAAUUCUUGGAUUUAUUGAAGACUAACUUCUGCGAAAGCAUUUGCCAAGGAUGUUUUCAUUAAUCAAGAACGAAAGUUAGGGGAUCGAAGACGAUCAGAUACCGUCGUAGUCUUAACCAUAAACUAUGCCGACUAGGGAUCGGACGAUGUUAAUUUUUUAAUGACUCGUUCGGCGCCUUACG
RNAcentral lists this ribosomal RNA (502 nucleotides) under uncultured Glomeromycotina. RNAcentral describes it as "partial small subunit ribosomal RNA". It matches the Rfam family "Eukaryotic small subunit ribosomal RNA", at positions 591 to 1092 of the family's 1831-position model. Lineage: Eukaryota; Fungi; Glomeromycota. The record is from RNAcentral.